This 403-nucleotide RNase P RNA is filed under the name Cohnella suwonensis. RNAcentral's name for it is "RNase P RNA component class A". It matches the Rfam family "Bacterial RNase P class A". From Rfam's summary of the family: Ribonuclease P (RNase P) is a ubiquitous endoribonuclease, found in archaea, bacteria and eukarya as well as chloroplasts and mitochondria. Its best characterised activity is the generation of mature 5'-ends of tRNAs by cleaving the 5'-leader elements of precursor-tRNAs. Cellular RNase Ps are ribonucleoproteins. The record is from RNAcentral. Lineage: Bacteria; Bacillati; Bacillota; Bacilli; Caryophanales; Paenibacillaceae.
GAAGUUUGACAGACAAUCGCUGGCGGCUUCGCGCCGCGAGAGGAAAGUCCGGGCUCCGCAGGGCAGAAUGCUGGAUAACGUCCAGUCGGCGCGAGUCGAAGGAUAGGGCCACAGAAAUGGACCGCCGAUGGCUGCUUCGGCAGAUCAGGCAAGGGUGGAACCGUGGUGUAAGAGACCACGAGGGGCACUGGCGACUUUGUCCCUGGUAAACCCCAUUUGGAGCAAGACCUAGGAGAACGUGGGCAGCGAUGCCAGCCCUUGCCCGGGGUGCGUUCGGGUUGGUCGCUUGAGCCCAGCAGCAAUGUUGGGCCUAGAAAGAUGAUUGUCGCUUCCAUACGUGGGAGGGCGCAAGCCCGUUACGACCACCGGAAGUACAGAACCCGGCUUACGGCAAGCUUCCCGG